GAUUAACGCUGGCGGCGUGCAUAACACAUGCAAGUCGAACGAUCAAACUUAAAUGUUUUCUUCGGAAUGAACUCAAGUGGAUUAGUGGCGGCCGGUUGAGUAACGCGUGAGUAACCUGCGUUACACAAGGGGAUAGCCGUUGGAAACGACGAAUAAUAUUCUAUGAAAUUAUCCCUUCGCAUGAAACGAUAGUACUGGUGUUAGCAGAGUAAGAUGGACUUCCGUAUGAUUAGCUAGUUGGUGAGAAAAAAGACCACCAAGGCAACGAUCAGUAGCCGGCUUGAGAGAGCGGACGGCCACACUGGGACUGGGACACGGCGCAGACUCCUACGGAAGGCAGCAGUGGGGAAGGGUGCACAAUGGGGGAAACCCUGAGGCAGCGACACCGCGUGAUUUAGAAAGCAGUCGAGUUGUAAAAAUCUUGUGAAUAGGAAGAAAAUGACAGUACUAAACGAAUAAGGUCCGGCUAAUUACGUG
This 477-nucleotide ribosomal RNA is filed under the name uncultured bacterium. RNAcentral describes it as "partial 16S ribosomal RNA". It matches the Rfam family "Bacterial small subunit ribosomal RNA", at positions 28 to 507 of the family's 1533-position model. The record is from RNAcentral.